RNAcentral lists this ribosomal RNA (464 nucleotides) under uncultured bacterium. RNAcentral describes it as "partial 16S ribosomal RNA". It matches the Rfam family "Bacterial small subunit ribosomal RNA", at positions 339 to 795 of the family's 1533-position model. The record is from RNAcentral.
CUACGGGAGGCUCCAGUGGGGAAUAUUGGACAAUGGGCGAAAGCCUGAUCCAGCCAUGCCGCGUGUGUGAAGAAGGUCUUCGGAUUGUAAAGCACUUUAAGUUGGGAGGAAGGGCAGUAAGUUAAUACCUUGCUGUUUUGACGUUACCGACAGAAUAAGCACCGGCUAACUUCGUGCCAGCAGCCGCGGUAAUACGAAGGGUGCAAGCGUUAAUCGGAAUUACUGGGCGUAAAGCGCGCGUAGGUGGUUCGUUAAGUUGGAUGUGAAAGCCCCGGGCUCAACCUGGGAACUGCAUCCAAAACUGGCGAGCUAGAGUAUGGCAGAGGGUGGUGGAAUUUCCUGUGUAGCGGUGAAAUGCGUAGUUAUAGGAAGGAACACCAGUGGCGAAGGCGACCACCUGGGCUAAUACUGACACUGAGGUGCGAAAGCGUGGGGAGCAAACAGGAUUAGAUACCCUAGUAGUC